GCACAGAGUGGGAGAGAAAGAGACUGAACAAGCUGUUCAGGAAGGGCAGCUCUGUCCUGCGCUGUCCUCUGUACUCUUUGGAGUAGGUGGCUGAGAGGAGGGUGUUAGCCAAGUUCAAAUCCAUCAAGGACAACACCUCUCACCCACUGCACCAGACUGUAGUGGAGCUGAGCAGCUCCUUCAGUGACAGACUGAGGCACCCUCAAUGCAAGAAGGAAUGAUACCGCAGGUGCUGCAUCCCCACC
This is a long non-coding RNA of Thalassophryne amazonica, 245 nucleotides long. RefSeq lists it as uncharacterized. The record is from RefSeq and is a predicted model, not a curated record. Lineage: Eukaryota; Metazoa; Chordata; Actinopteri; Batrachoidiformes; Batrachoididae. The transcript has 3 exons.